Molecule: non-coding RNA, 1864 nt
Organism: Zonotrichia albicollis (white-throated sparrow)
Lineage: Eukaryota; Metazoa; Chordata; Aves; Passeriformes; Passerellidae
Source: RefSeq, a predicted model, not a curated record
UGGGAUUUGGCCCAUAUAACUCUGAGCUCAUACUUUGCUUUUGGUUUUCUUUGUUGUAGCUGACCGAGAGCCUAACAGGCCAUCACAGGGCUCUCCGAGGCAGAUUCAUUUCAGGCGCGACAUGAAUCCACAUCACCCAUCAUCCAAAAGAUAAGUUGGGGGCCACGGCCUGGAGAUGGGAGAGUGGUGGGUUGGGAGAUCUUGGGGCAGAUGUAAAAAUUAGCAGAGGGAAAAGCAAUCUUCCCCAAGGGCCUCUUAGGACAGUGAGAGGGAGAGGCUCUACUUUUGAUGGCAGCUUUCAGGCAGGCAGUGCAGAACAGCUCUGGCCUGUGUCGUGUUGUCCGGUGUGCCGUGUUACCUAGUGUGUCUUUGGGGUCCCUUUUGCCUUUUCCCCUCAAUGCUCUCACCACAAGCAUGAUGUGUCGUGUUUAAUGUCCCCCUUUGUCACGUUCUGUGUCACGGGUGUCUGCUCAUAUUUGUGCCGGAGCUGCUCUGCCCUGCCGCAUAGCCUGCUGCAAUAGGACAAGCCUGGGGAGUUGACAUUUGUAAUUUGGGUGUACAUUGGCUCUAGAUGCUAUUCCAAGAUUGACAAGUUGUUUGCAUGUUGUGAGUUAUCCUGGUGGUGUUUGAUAUAUGUUCUAACUUUCUUUCAGGUGCAGAUGCAUUGCAUCCAUGGCAGAGGGUCAGGGUUAGGAGGUGCUGGGCCUUCUUAGAAGCCUGCUGUCUGAGAGACACCAGCGCGGUGCCAGCAGGAUCUUCCCUGCUGACGAGGUGGCUGUUCUUUGCACCUGAUAUGGAGCAGCACUCCCUGAUAUCUGAGAGAUAAGUAGAGCGCUAAGACCCACAGAGGGGAUGAAAGCAGGGUGCUGGUUUGGUAAUUACUGGGAGAGGUUUUUGAGUCCGCUUUGGAGGUGGGGGGUGUUCAUGAAGUGGCCCCUUAGGCCCCAUAAAAGCAAAGUCUUACUUUUGAUGAAGUGCUGAGGUGCGCAGGGCGGAGCAGUCCCGGUGUGUCUCGUGUGCCUUGUCUAUUUUGCAUUAUGUGUUGUUUGUGUAUGUCAUGUCUUUUACCUUAGGCCUUUGAGGAGCCUGUCAGAAACCCUGGCACCAUUCUUAGCAUCUGUGAUCUCUGCAUUCCUUGGCCUGGCACCCAGAGCAUUGAUGCGAUUCUGAUACCUGUCUGAGCUCCCCAGUCAAAAGUUCUCUCUUUGGAAGCAUCCUGUCAGAUGUCUUUUCAGGUCUUGUUCUGAGCUGUACGGACAGCUAUGCCCCACCUGGAUCCAUUGUGGUGGAUUAGGACUUGUAGUAAUAUGAGGUUAGGUACAGGCUUCUGACUGUAGGAUUCCUGGGCAUCCAUCUUUGCUGUUUUUGGUAUAAAUCAUUCAGUUUAGCAUCUUCUUCCUCCAGGGUUCUCUGAGCCUCAUCAUCUCACCAUCGGUCUCGCCUCGGUCAUCUCCUUUUGCAUUCUCUCUGUCCUCGUAGCCAUUUUCCUUGCCAAGAGAUUUCUGUCCGUGUCUUGUGCCCUUUGUUUGUCACAUCCUGUCUGUCCUGUGUCACGGGUGUCAGCACACAUUUGUGCCGGAGCUGCUCUGCCCUGCCGCAUAGCCUAGUGCAAUAGGGGAAAUCCUGGGGACCUGAAGUUUGUAUUGUGAGGUGUAGGUGGACUCUAGAUGGGAUUUGUAGAUGGACACAAGAUAUCUGGAGCCCUUAAGUUAUCCUGCAGCCCUUUGACUCUUGUCCUAACUUUCUUUCAGAUGCAGAAGGAUAAAAUCCAGGGCAGAGUACCCCAUCCCAGGAAGUCAAGGGCGAGAGCAGCAGUCAAGACCGAGUAGGCAAGGUGCUGUCCUAGGCAUGCCCAGGAAGGCAG